CCCCUUUUAAAAGCACUCAGUGGGCCUUUGCUAAUGACCCAUCGAGCCGUCCAGAAUUGGCAGAGCCAAAAGCACCGCUUUCGGGUGAAGCGGCAGCAUGUUGUGCUGUUUUGCUUCAAUCGGUGGUGUGACAAGA
This is a small nucleolar RNA of Oryctolagus cuniculus (rabbit), 136 nucleotides long. Lineage: Eukaryota; Metazoa; Chordata; Mammalia; Lagomorpha; Leporidae. The record is from Ensembl.